GAUGAAGAACGCAGCGAAAUGCGAUAAGUAAUGUGAAUUGCAGAAUUCAGUGAAUCAUCGAAUCUUUGAACGCACCUUGCGCUCCUUGGUAUUCCUUGGAGCAUGCCUGUUCGAGCGUCAUUUGUACCUUCAAGCUCUGCUUGGUGUUGGGUGUUUGUCUCGCCUCUGCGUGUAGACUCGCCUCAAAACAAUUGGCAGCCGGCGUAUUGAUUUCGGAGCGCAGUACAUCUCGCGCUUUGCACUCAUAACGACGACGUCCAAAAGUACAUUUUUACACUCUUGACCUCGGAUCAGGUAGGGAUACCCGCUGAACUUAAGCAUAUCAAUAAGCGGAGGA
Molecule: unclassified non-coding RNA, 337 nt
Filed under: soil metagenome
Description: partial contains 5.8S ribosomal RNA, internal transcribed spacer 2, and large subunit ribosomal RNA
Rfam family: 5.8S ribosomal RNA (bases 1-120)
Source: RNAcentral